RNAcentral lists this long non-coding RNA (911 nucleotides) under Brassica napus (rape). Its description in RNAcentral is "long non-coding RNA (BNAP_LNC024983)". The record is from RNAcentral. Lineage: Eukaryota; Viridiplantae; Streptophyta; Magnoliopsida; Brassicales; Brassicaceae.
CAAGUGAGAAAGAGAGAGCGUAAAUCGAUUUUAGGUGCAUUAAGAGCUUCAAAUUGGUUGUUCAUGGUGGUUGGGGUAUUGAUCACAAUGGCAAUCUUGUAAUUACUUGAUGAUGAGGGUGAGAGAGUAAAAAUAUCAUUUUCGGAAAAAAAAAAUAACAAAAAUGUGAUGGUAUUUUCGUGAAUAUCAUGAACUUGUGGGGGUGAAUAGGGCAAAAGAAAAAUCCAAGAAAAGCAUGGGUUAGUUUUAGGUUUGACUUUGAGUUUUGAGUCAAUCUUGCAAAAAGCCAAAAAACUAAGCCAUAACUAAAUUCUUCGUAUUCUUCUUCUUUUUCUUCUUCUUGUCGAUCCAGACGUCCACCACACAGUUCUUCCACAAAAAGAGAUGGUUGAGCGAUUUACCUGUAACUUUUGCAGUAAAAUUCCACCCUUCAGCAUCUGUGAUCACCAUUGUAGUGAACUCACAACGCUUCCUGCAGAAAAUAUCAAAACAAAAAAAAACGACCAUGACUAAACUAAGAGUAUGGUACACAGAACUCGACAGUGAUUAAUGGACAUUACGCAUCAGAUUGCAGUGACAUCUUAAUUAAGAUCAUGAAGCUAGGAGUAAAGCAAGAAAUUCACAUAGCUUUUCUCAAUCAAAAUUGAAAUCUUUUUAGUAAUCUAAAAACACAUCAUAAUCACUCUUAUAUAUGAUUUAACUUCAGAGAGUGAGAGACAGAGAGGUGACCAGUGGUGAUUUAUUCUGGCUGGAACAAAGAACACACGGUUCUGAGAAGCGAUAUGGUGGUGACGAGCGAUGGUGGUGGUCGUGACGAGCGAUGUGGUGGUGGUGGUGGUUGUGACGAGCGACGGUGUCAAAAAGAGGGUGGUCGUGAGGCUUCAAUCGACCUUCUCUAUUCUCUCCGUCUC